CAACUUCUAGCUACCUUUCUAGUGUGUGUAUGCCUGCAUUUGACUUUAUCAGCAUUGACUUUUGCAGCUCUUUCUUCUGAAGACUUGAUCAGCCUGAACCUUCAGCAAAGAUUUCAAUGCAAACUGAAGAAUUUACUACAUCUGUGAAGUCUAAAAGUCUUACCUCCACACUGCUUUUCUGGCUGAAUGGUUCUAAGAUCAUGGAAAAAAGCAAAAGAACAAAGCUCCCCAAAAGGGAACUGAGGAAAUAUGUAAAGGCAGGAUGUAUGAAAAAAAUACUAGCACAAGGAUUAAUGGCAGAAAACCUCCAGGACUGCAGUCUGAUACUUAACGAAUAUGUAUUUCCAUGCAUACAGAGAGGAUGUUAACAGACUUUUCAACAAUCAUCAUCACUCCUCAGGAGACUGAAAAACAUUUGUGCAAUUUUUUAGUGUAGAGUGGAAUGAAAGAAGAUCUGGAGUGGGGAACACUUAGUAUGACAAACUGAACCAGAAAAAUCAAAAUGAGUCAUCUUCAGUGCAAGUUGCAGGAAGUAUAUUAAUUUGUAUUACACUGUCCACUGUACAUUAUUUGAAUUCUAAAUUUCCACAGCUGAUCUUUAUGUAUUGAAAAAAUUCUGUACACAUGCAUCCUGAACACAGAAAAACGUAUCUUAAAGUGGAUAAACAACUCAAUUAAAUUAGUAACAAUAAUUUUUCCCUUCACAAUUCCUCUUUGGGUUUUUAAUUCUGUGCUUUACCCUACCCUCUUCUCACUUGGUGGAAAUCUUUGCAUGAGGUUGUUUUCAGCACUCCUGGUAAUUUUACCUACGCAUUUACCAUUAUGUAUACAUUAUAUCUACGUUCUGACAACUAAAAUUUAUUUUA
Long non-coding RNA from Chiroxiphia lanceolata (lance-tailed manakin), 866 nucleotides. RefSeq lists it as uncharacterized. The transcript is spliced from 4 exons. Lineage: Eukaryota; Metazoa; Chordata; Aves; Passeriformes; Pipridae. The record is from RefSeq and is a predicted model, not a curated record.